Molecule: transfer RNA, 85 nt
Filed under: Felis catus (domestic cat)
Lineage: Eukaryota; Metazoa; Chordata; Mammalia; Carnivora; Felidae
Rfam family: tRNA
About the family: Transfer RNA (tRNA) molecules are approximately 80 nucleotides in length. Their secondary structure includes four short double-helical elements and three loops (D, anti-codon, and T loops).
Source: Rfam by way of RNAcentral
GCCUUGGUGGCUCAGUCGGUUAAGCAUCUGACUUCAGCUCAGGUCAUGAUCUCGUGGUUUGUGAGUUCGAGCCCCACAUCAGGCU